Molecule: ribosomal RNA, 777 nt
Filed under: uncultured Neocallimastigales
Lineage: Eukaryota; Fungi; Neocallimastigomycota; Neocallimastigomycetes; Neocallimastigales
Description: partial large subunit ribosomal RNA
Rfam family: Eukaryotic large subunit ribosomal RNA
Source: RNAcentral
GUAGUCUCGCACAGAUGCAUAUCAAUAAGCGGAGGAAAAGAAACUAACAAGGAUUCCCCUAGUAACGGCGAGUGAAGCGGGAAGAGCUCAAAUUUGAAAUCUUAAAGGGUUUCCCUUUACGAAUUGUAGUUUAAAGAAGUGUUUUCUGUUGAGGUUUUGGUAAAAGUUCUUUGGAAUAGGACAUCAUAGAGGGUGAGAAUCCCGUAUUUGGUACCUUUACUUUCUAGCUUUGUGAUACACUUUCAAAGAGUCGGAUUGUUUGGGAAUGCAGUCCAAAAUGGGUGGUAAAUUUCAUCUAAAGCUAAAUAUUGGCGAGAGACCGAUAGCGAACAAGUACCGUGAGGGAAAGAUGAAAAGAACUUUGAAAAGAGAGUUAAACAGUACGUGAAAUUGUCAAAAGGGAAGCGUUUGACACCAGUGUUGUUUUUCUGAAAAUCAAUUAAAGAACUGUUUAUGCUAAGCUGUUUAGACUUUAUCAGCUAUCUGUUUAGUUUUGAGCUUUUCUUUAAUGCACUUUUCAGUUAACAAGUCAACAUCAAUUUCUUUUGCUGUAAAAAAGCUUGAGGAAGGUGGCUUGAGAUUCGUCUUAAGUGUUUAUAGCCUCUUGCCUAUGCAGUCGGAGAGAUUGAGGUCUGCAGCGUAGAUCCUUCGGGGCUAAAUGCAUUUGUGCUAAGUUAUAGCAUUUUAUAGACAACUUGUUGACUAUGAUUUGUCUUGUAGCUUACUCGCUUAUGUUAUUUUACCUACGCUUAGGAUGUUGAACUCUAUCACACACAG